GAGGAAUAUUGGUCAAUGGACGAGAGUCUGAACCAGCCAAGUAGCGUGAAGGAUGACUGCCCUAUGGGUUGUAAACUUCUUUUAUACGGGAAUAAAGUGAGGCACGUGUGCCUUUUUGUAUGUACCGUAUGAAUAAGGAUCGGCUAACUCCGUGCCAGCAGCCGCGGUAAUACGGAGGAUCCGAGCGUUAUCCGGAUUUAUUGGGUUUAAAGGGAGCGUAGGCGGACGCUUAAGUCAGUUGUGAAAGUUUGCGGCUCAACCGUAAAAUUGCAGUUGAUACUGGGUGUCUUGAGUACAGUAGAGGCAGGCGGAAUUCGUGGUGUAGCGGUGAAAUGCUUAGAUAUCACGAAGAACUCCGAUUGCGAAGGCAGCUUGCUGGACUGUAACUGACGCUGAUGCUCGAAAGUGUGGGUAUCAAACAGGAUUAGAUACCCUGGUAGUCCACACAGUAAACGAUGAAUACUCGCUAUUUGCGAUAUACAGUAAGCGGCCAAGCGAAAGCGUUAAGUAUUCCACCUGGGGAGUACGCCGGCAACGGUGAAACUCAAAGGAAUUGACGGGGGCCCGCACAAGCGGAGGAACAUGUGGUUUAAUUCGAUGAUACGCGAGGAACCUUACCCGGGCUUGAAUUGCAACUGAAUGAUGUGGAGACAUGUCAGCCGCAAGGCAGUUGUGAAGGUGCUGCAUGGUUGUCGUCAGCUCGUGCCGUGAGGUGUCGGCUUAAGUGCCAUAACGAGCGCAACCCUUAUCGAUAGUUACCAUCAGGUUAUGCUGGGGACUCUGUCGAGACUGCCGUCGUAAGAUGUGAGGAAGGUGGGGAUGACGUCAAAUCAGCACGGCCCUUACGUCCGGGGCUACACACGUGUUACAAUGGGGGGUACAGAAGGCAGCUACACGGCGACGUGAUGCUAAUCCCGAAAGCCUCUCCCAGUUCGGAUUGGAGUCUGCAACCCGACUCCAUGAAGCUGGAUUCGCUAGUAAUCGCGCAUCAGCCACGGCGCGGUGAAUACGUUCCCG
Molecule: ribosomal RNA, 1017 nt
Filed under: uncultured organism
Description: bacterial SSU rRNA
Rfam family: Bacterial small subunit ribosomal RNA
Source: RNAcentral